Molecule: non-coding RNA, 351 nt
Organism: Vicugna pacos (alpaca)
Lineage: Eukaryota; Metazoa; Chordata; Mammalia; Artiodactyla; Camelidae
Source: RefSeq, a predicted model, not a curated record
GAUCUUGUAACUUGCUACCUUGCUGAAUUCUUUGAUCAGCUCUAGUAGUUUUUGUGUGGACCUUUUAGGGUUUUCAAUAUAUAGCAACAUGUCAUUGGCAUUUAGUGACACUUUUACCUCUUCUUUUCCAAUUUGGAUCCCUUUUAUUUCUCUCUCUUGUCUGAUUGCUGUGGCUAGGACUUCCAAGACUAUGUUGAAUAAGAGUGGUGAUAGUAGGCAUCCUUGUCUUGUCCCAGAUUUUAGUGGGAAACUUUUGAGGUUUUCACCAUUGAGUAGUAUGCUGGCUGUAGGUUUGUCAUGUAUAGUUUUUAUGAUGUUGAGAGAUGUUCCCUUAUACCCACUUUAGGGAGA